This 857-nucleotide long non-coding RNA is filed under the name Mustela putorius furo (domestic ferret). Its description in RNAcentral is "lncRNA (ENSMPUG00000027931.1)". The record is from RNAcentral. Lineage: Eukaryota; Metazoa; Chordata; Mammalia; Carnivora; Mustelidae.
GCAGCCUCCAGGGUACCCCUGGGGGAAGCUCUGCGGAGGAAGCUGGGAGCCCACUGCUCUUGGUCCUGGCCUCCCCCCACAGAGCGAGGCCAGCUGGAGACAACGGAGUCUGGGCAAACCCCCACAGCCUGCGGGAGGCUGGCGCCACAGCCUAGCUCAAGGGAGUGAGGACUCUGGGCUCCCCCAGGCAUUGCUUGUUGCAAAUCGAGAGGCAGUGCAGCCAAGCAGGCCAGGAGGUAGGCUGCCGUGACGAUGCACGAACCAAAGAGACACACCACCACACGGAUGGAUCUGAAACACGUGGUGUUGAUCGAAAGAAGCUGAAAGAAUAGGUCUGCAUGGAAAACAAGCCUUCCUGGUGGAUGUUUUCACAGCUUAUGUGAGGAUUACCAAAUACCAGAUCUCUGCUUACCUGCCUGGAGCUCCCUCUAACAGCACAUGAUUCCUUGCAGGGUGGGUUACCAGAAGGCAGGAUGUAAGAAGUCUCAACGACCAUGCCACAAAUCUGGUGGGAGCCAAGGGAAGCUCCUUGGGAGCUCAGGAGAGCUGCUCCAGGCCCCUCUGUGGUGGAGGCAAAGUUUGGAUCCAAUUCUCAUCCAGGGCAGAAAUGUCUGAGGUAGGCUUCGUACCUGUGUGCCUCUCUCUCUUGGGUUAUAUGUAAAUUUUGAAUGUCUUCUUUGAGUUGUUCAUAGUUGCCAUCCCAGUGCUGAGCACAGACUAAGUGCCCAACAGAUGGUUGAAUACGUGAAUAAUGAACUUAAAUACUUAGAAGGUGUCUGCAAGAUGGACUCAGGCUGCUCACUCCCUGCAGAUGAGGGCUAGACCCCAGGGCCAGCUCUUUAGCUAUUGGAGAUGCC